GAUUGUUUAGUUUAUUUAAAACAAAUGUUUUGAAAACAUUAAAAAAGAAAAAAAAUUCUUAAUAAUCG
RNAcentral lists this transfer RNA (68 nucleotides) under Austinograea rodriguezensis. RNAcentral's name for it is "tRNA-Ser". Lineage: Eukaryota; Metazoa; Arthropoda; Malacostraca; Decapoda; Bythograeidae. The record is from RNAcentral. RNAcentral also lists the same sequence under 2 other names.